Molecule: ribosomal RNA, 1100 nt
Filed under: Francisella tularensis
Lineage: Bacteria; Pseudomonadati; Pseudomonadota; Gammaproteobacteria; Thiotrichales; Francisellaceae
Description: bacterial SSU rRNA
Rfam family: Bacterial small subunit ribosomal RNA
Source: RNAcentral
UGGAUUAAAGGUGGCUUUCGGGCUGUCGCAGAUGGAUGAGCCUGCGUUGGAUUAGCUAGUUGGUGGGGUAAGGGCCCACCAAGGCUACGAUCCAUAGCUGAUUUGAGAGGAUGAUCAGCCACAUUGGGACUGAGACACGGCCCAAACUCCUACGGGAGGCAGCAGUGGGGAAUAUUGGACAAUGGGGGCAACCCUGAUCCAGCAAUGCCAUGUGUGUGAAGAAGGCCCUAGGGUUGUAAAGCACUUUAGUUGGGGAGGAAAGCCUCAAGGUUAAUAGCCUUGGGGGAGGACGUUACCCAAAGAAUAAGCACCGGCUAACUCCGUGCCAGCAGCCGCGGUAAUACGGGGGGUGCAAGCGUUAAUCGGAAUUACUGGGCGUAAAGGGUCUGUAGGUGGUUUGUUAAGUCAGAUGUGAAAGCCCAGGGCUCAACCUUGGAACUGCAUUUGAUACUGGCAAACUAGAGUACGGUAGAGGAAUGGGGAAUUUCUGGUGUAGCGGUGAAAUGCGUAGAGAUCAGAAGGAACACCAAUGGCGAAGGCAACAUUCUGGACCGAUACUGACACUGAGGGACGAAAGCGUGGGGAUCAAACAGGAUUAGAUACCCUGGUAGUCCACGCUGUAAACGAUGAGUACUAGCUGUUGGAGUCGGUGUAAAGGCUCUAGUGGCGCAGCUAACGCGAUAAGUACUCCGCCUGGGGACUACGGCCGCAAGGCUAAAACUCAAAGGAAUUGACGGGGACCCGCACAAGCGGUGGAGCAUGUGGUUUAAUUCGAUGCAACGCGAAGAACCUUACCUGGUCUUGACAUCCUGCGAACUUUCUAGAGAUAGAUUGGUGCCUUCGGGAACGCAGUGACAGGUGCUGCACGGCUGUCGUCAGCUCGUGUUGUGAAAUGUUGGGUUAGUCCCGCAACGAGCGCAACCCCUAUUGAUAGUUACCAUCAUUAAGUUGGGUACUCUAUUAAGACUGCCGCUGACAAGGCGGAGGAAGGUGGGGACGACGUCAAGUCAUCAUGGCCCUUACGACCAGGGCUACACACGUGCUACAAUGGGUAUUACAGAGGGCUGCGAAGGUGCGAGCUGGAGCGAAACUCAAAAAGG